This 30-nucleotide non-coding RNA is filed under the name Homo sapiens (human). Lineage: Eukaryota; Metazoa; Chordata; Mammalia; Primates; Hominidae. The record is from RNAcentral.
GAACAGAGGUGCCUUCUGGAACAUGUUUCU